This 3408-nucleotide ribosomal RNA is filed under the name Triticum aestivum (bread wheat). RNAcentral's name for it is "partial small subunit ribosomal RNA". The record is from RNAcentral. Lineage: Eukaryota; Viridiplantae; Streptophyta; Magnoliopsida; Poales; Poaceae.
GGGGAACCGGUGCUGCAAAACAGGAAAAGGCAACGGACAGGUCGGAAAAAGAAAACAAAAGGAAAGAAGUGGGAGAAGGAGGAGGGAAGGAAGCAAAGCAAAUAUACUAAACCGAUCGAGAGGGCAACACGUAACGUCCGAUCCGAUACUUAACACGGGAGCCCAUCCUUCCAUCGACCCGCGCCUCCUUUUGCCACGGCCCGCGCGCACCGGUCACACAUGGCUGAGACCCCCCGUGCCCCGCCGCCACUGAGGCCUCCGCCGCCCGUUCCGCUGCCCGACACGCCGCCUCGGCCGGAUUCGUCGCCUUCCACGCCCGGCGAGGACUACCACACGCCGACGCCCUCGCUGGACGAGGCGCGCGAAGAAACGCCACCGUGGCCGCAAGAAACCAACGGCAACGGGAGAGCGGCCAGCAAGAGCCCGGCCCUCUCGCCCGUGCGCCUCCCCUCGCCGCACCGCCUGCUGCCGCCCAACUCCCCCACCGGCAACGGCGACGACGGUGCCUCCGCCGGGCAUGCGCCGGUGCCGGGCCGCCGCCCGCAGCUCCGCCUUGCGCCCGGCCUCGUCCGGACGCCGUCGGAAGGGUCCGUCGCCAAGUCUCCCUCGCCAUCGCCCUCUUCGUCGCUGACGCCGCCAUCGCCUCUAACCCUGGGUCCCACAAUCACAACCAACAACAAGAGCGCCCAGAGCACGCCGAAGCGCACGGAGGCAUGGAAGCCGCCGGCCACGGGGAUCGCGGUGCAGUUCGACCCUGUCGAGGAAGCCGUCACGUCGCCGCUGCAACUCGGCAAGCCCCGAAUCGACCGCCAUCGCGCCACUACGAUGGCGGCAGCAGAGAACGGAGGCGGGCCCAACACGGUGCCUCGCGACGUGGCGGCGGUGGCCGCGGUCGGGGAGAGGAGGCCACUGUCGGUGGCGCUGCGGCUGGCCACGGCGGUGCUCAGCUUGGCGUCCUUCGCGGUGAUGGCCAGCGCCCGGACGUCCGGCUGGGACGGCGAUCACUUCGAUCGCUACGAUCAGUACAGGUCAGUGAUCACCUGCUUACAGUACAUGAUUCUUUCCCCCCUGCAUUUAGUUCGGAUAUGUCCGGCCGGGUUUUGACGGUUAGAAUGACUUCUUUGCUCUUCUUUUUAAUUAACGAAGCAGUUACCUUGGAGUAAGUAUCUGGCCCCUUUAAUUUCUGGUUAAUUUGUUCGAUACAUCACCACGAUAAAACAGUAGCAUCCUACAUUCCUCUAUUCGAAUUCAGAAUUCACCUUGGAUUGUAUUUGUUGAUGAAAAAAAAACAGAACGUGCCAAUUACUCUUGGCAUCCCUGGUAUAGGUUCAGAACAACACCCAAAUAAGCGAGGCGGGGCAAUUGCUCAGCAAGCACUCCAGCACCACCGCAGUCCCUGAACCUGAAUUCAUGAUGGCCACUACUAGGCACCGGUGCGCCGGCCCAACUUUGGGCCGGUCGUACCAGCAGCGUCCGAUUAAACAACCCAUAGCCGUACGAUUCUCUCCUUUUCUUUCACCAGGCGUCUUCUUUCUUAAAAAAAAAAACUUCCAACGCGCUGCCAUGGAUGAGCGAUGCGCCCAGCCUGAAAGUACCGCCCCGGUGCGCUCGCCUGUAGCCGCCCUCCCCGCCGGUCGUCGUCGUCACCGCCGGCCGCAGUUGUUUCCGCCGGCCGCCGUCAUGGUGGAAGCAAAAAGAAAAGCUGGAUCCAGCUAAAACAGAACAUGGUGGAAGCAAAAUUUGAAGUUGUUUCCAGUAAAAAAUUAUGGUGGUAGCAAAAUAAUUUGCUGGAUCCAAACUUCUGAUGAUGCAUGUGCUAGCAGUCAGGGUGGCUGGCUGCAUCAUCUCUGCGUCUCCAGCUCGCCGGGUUCGAGUGCAAGCAGCAAAAAAUCUGGAAGCAACAAAAAUCUUCCAGCAAAAAACUUCACCCCAGGUCGAAGUCCGGUGGUCGGUUGAAGCAAAAUCAAAAAAUGCUUCUAGCAAAAACAAACUUAGGUGCCAACAAAAACGACAUGAGCAUUUGAGAGCUCUGCAACCGAUGAAGCAAAAAAUUAUCUUGGUUCCAGCAAAAAAAUACACCGGUUCCAGCAAAAACAAAAAAUUGGUUCAGCAAAAAAUGCAUCAGCAAAAAAUUGCCACCCUCUCUUGCAGCUCCCCCAGCAGCCGGUUGCAGCUCCGGCGUGCAUGAUUGCAGCUCCCGAUGUUCGAACGGCGUUGGAUACAACACUCCUUGCUGCUCGAUGUAGCUUCCCCGGCGAGGCACCGACCUUGUAGCACAUACACCAGCUGGUUGCAGCAGACAGGGGCACCAGUUCCAGCAAAAAACGAAGAUGUUCAUAAAAAACGAAUGAGGAUGUAGCAAAAAACAAAGGGGUUGUAGCAAAACAAAAUGGUGGAUCCAGCAAAAAAAAUAUCGGUUCCAGCAAAGCCCCUCGGUUCCAGCACAAACUCGCCGCUGUCGGGUGCAGCUUGGCCAUGGCGACCGAAGCACCUGGCUGCGACGGCUAUGGAGAGGGCGCGUGUCCAGCUGCCGACGGAGGCAGACAAGGCGACGAGCAUCACAGCCGUGGAGAGGUAGGAGCCGUACGAGCACCAUGGAAGGAGCUGCUCGCCGGGGGAUGGUCAUGCCAUGACUGAGGAGAUUGGGAUUGGGAAGAGAGACUUGAGGGGAACGAAUGGCUGUAGUGUGUUCUGAAGAGAUAAGAUGAAGAGGUAGGCGGUGGAAAACUAAAGCGAGCUACGCGGCGAAGCUUCGGCCGGCGCGCCGUCUUCAAACGUUUUCCAUUCAUGAUCGUGGCUUUUGCCAGCAGAGUUCUUGGCUUCCUCAUCUUCUUGGGAGGAAAAGUAACCUCCCAAUUGCAUGGCAUGUCAGGUACGCCCUGGCGGUGAACGUGAUCGUCUGCGCCUACUCAAUCGCGCAAUCGCUGGGUGAGAUCCGCCGUCUGGUCGCGGCGAGGUUUAUUUACAGGAGCAUGUCAAGCUACUACUUCAGCCUGUUCCUUGAUCAGGUCCUGGCGUAUCUCCUCAUGUCCGCGUCGUCGGCUGCCGCGUCGCGCAACGAUCUGUGGGUGUCGAGGUUCAGUCAGGACGCCUUCAACAGGAAGAUCACCAGCUCGGUGUGGCUGUCCUUCCUUGCCUUCAUAGCGCUCGCCGCAAGCUCGCUCAUCUCCACGGCUAAUCUCUUCAGCAUGGUCUAAUUAUGAUAGAUACGGUUCAUCCCUUUCCCUCUCCCUUUGGGGAUGUGGACUGUGGAGUAACUGCCGGCGUUCUUCAUGUAAAUUUUGCAUUUAUAUUGUCACAAAUCAUACGAUCGACUGAUACCGUACGUUGUUCUCGGUCCUGACCUCUGACUCGUCAGAAAAUCCCUUGUAAAGAGGUUCAUGUAGUGCUCGAAUUAAGUUUUUCAAU